Molecule: ribosomal RNA, 634 nt
Filed under: uncultured bacterium
Lineage: Bacteria
Description: bacterial SSU rRNA
Rfam family: Bacterial small subunit ribosomal RNA
Source: RNAcentral
AGAGUUUGAUCCUGGCUCAGGAUGAACGCUAGCGGCAGGCCUAAUACAUGCAAGUCGAACGGUGAUAGCAAUAUCAUAGUGGCGCACGGGUGCGUAACACGUAUGCAACCUACCUAUUAUUGGGGGAUAGCCUUUGGAAACGGAGAUUAAUACCGCAUAAUACGAUUGACUGGCAUCGGUUGAUUGUUAAAGCUUUGGCGAUAAUAGAUGGGCAUGCGUCCAAUUAGUUAGUUGGUUAGGUAACGGCUGACCAAGACGAUGAUUGGUAGGGGAUAUGAGAGGAUAAUCCCCCACACUGGCACUGAGAUACGGGCCAGACUCCUACGGGAGGCAGCAGUAGGGAAUAUUGGGCAAUGGGCGGAAGCCUGACCCAGCCAUGCCGCGUGCAGGAAGAAGGCGUUAUGCGUUGUAAGCUGCUUUUUUAUAGGAAGAAGGAUCCCUUGCGAGGGAAGGUGACGGUACUAUAAGAAUAAGCACCGGCUAACUCCGUGCCAGCAGCCGCGGUAAUACGGAGGGUGCAAGCGUUGUCCGGAUUUAUUGGGUUUAAAGGGUGCGUAGGCGGUUUAUUAAGUCAGUGGUGAAAGACGGUCGCUCAACGAUUGCAGUGCCAUUGAUACUGGUAGACUUGAGUGAG